Molecule: ribosomal RNA, 492 nt
Filed under: uncultured bacterium
Lineage: Bacteria
Description: partial 16S ribosomal RNA
Rfam family: Bacterial small subunit ribosomal RNA
Source: RNAcentral
AGUGAACGCUGGCGGUAGGCCUAACACAUGCAGGUCGAACGGCAGCACAGUAAGAGCUUGCUCUUACGGGUGGCGAGUGGCGGACGGGUGAGGAAUACAUCGGAAUCUACUUUUUCGUGGGGGAUAACGUAGGGAAACUUACGCUAAUACCGCAUACGACCUACGGGUGAAAGCAGGGGAUCUUCGGACCUUGCGCGAUUGAAUGAGCCGAUGUCGGAUUAGCUAGUUGGCGGGGUAAAGGCCCACCAAGGCGACGAUCCGUAGCUGGUCUGAGAGGAUGAUCAGCCACACUGGAACUGAGACACGGUCCAGACUCCUACGGGAGGCAGCAGUGGGGAAUAUUGGACAAUGGGCGCAAGCCUGAUCCAGCCAUACCGCGUGGGUGAAGAAGGCCUUCGGGUUGUAAAGCCCUUUUGUUGGGAGAGAAAAGCAGCAGGUUAAUACCCCGCUGUUCUGACGGUACCCAAAGAAUAAGCACCGGCUAACUUCGUG